Molecule: ribosomal RNA, 228 nt
Filed under: Triticum aestivum (bread wheat)
Lineage: Eukaryota; Viridiplantae; Streptophyta; Magnoliopsida; Poales; Poaceae
Description: partial small subunit ribosomal RNA
Source: RNAcentral
AUGGACCAAUCCAUCCCUUUUUCCCGUGCAUAUGCAUCGGACUCGGAUGACGAUGGUCCCGAUGAAGAAGUUGAUGAGGAGGGGUUCACGCCGAAGGAGGCCCAAGCAUUCAAGAAGGUAUUCGGGAAGGAUCACAAGACACCAUUGUUCAAGGAUCUUAGUCUCGCGGAUGAAGCCGUUGUGGAUGGUGGCAAAUGCAUAUCUCUUGGAGCUAGGCCAAGUUCUCAC